Molecule: small RNA, 125 nt
Filed under: Marmota monax (woodchuck)
Lineage: Eukaryota; Metazoa; Chordata; Mammalia; Rodentia; Sciuridae
Source: RNAcentral
GCCAGGUGUGGUGGCUCAUGCCUGUAAUCCCAGCGGCUUAGAAGGCUGAGGCAGGAGGAUCUCGAGUUCAAAGCCACCCUCAGCAAAAGCGAGGCACUAAGCAACUCAGUGAGACCCUGUCUCUA